Molecule: ribosomal RNA, 436 nt
Filed under: uncultured bacterium
Lineage: Bacteria
Description: bacterial SSU rRNA
Rfam family: Bacterial small subunit ribosomal RNA
Source: RNAcentral
AUGGGAACGCGAAGAACCUUACCUAGACUUGACAUCUCCUGAAUAGUGUAGAGAUACAUGAAGCCCUUCGGGGCAGGAAGACAGGUGGUGCAUGGUUGUCGUCAGCUCGUGUCGUGAGAUGUUGGGUUAAGUCCCGCAACGAGCGCAACCCUUAUCAUUAGUUGCUACCAUUUAGUUGAGCACUCUAGUGAGACUGCCCGGGUUAACCGGGGGGAAGGCGGGGAUGACGUCAAAUCAUCAUGCCCCUUAUGUCUAGGGCUACACACGUGCUACAAUGGUGAGAACAACGAGAUGCAAUACCGCGAGGUGGAGCAAAACUUCAAAACUCAUCUCAGUUCGGAUUGUAGGCUGAAACUCGCCUACAUGAAGUUGGAGUUGCUAGUAAUCGCGAAUCAGAAUGUCGCGGUGAAUACGUUCCCGGGUCUUGUACACACCG